Molecule: ribosomal RNA, 305 nt
Filed under: uncultured bacterium
Lineage: Bacteria
Description: bacterial SSU rRNA
Rfam family: Bacterial small subunit ribosomal RNA
Source: RNAcentral
GCCUACGGGGGGCAGCAGUGGGGGAUAUUACACAAUGGGCGAAAGCCUGACGCAGCGACGCCGCGUGAGGGAUGAAGGUCUUCGGAUCGUAAACCUCUGUCAGCAGGGAAGAACGGUCACUGUGCUAAUCAGCAGUGAAUUGACGGUACCUGCAAAGGAAGCACCGGCUAACUCCGUGCCAGCAGCCGCGGUAAUACGGAGGGUGCGAGCGUUAAUCGGAAUUACUGGGCGUAAAGCGCUCGUAGGCGGUAUGUCAAGUCAAGGGUGAAAUCCCCGCGCUCAACGUGGGAACUGCCUUUGAAACU